GAUGAAGAACGUAGCAAAAUGCGAUAAGUAAUGUGAAUUGCAGAAUUCAGUGAAUCAUCGAAUCUUUGAACGCUCAUUGCGCCCGCUGGUAUUCCGGCGGGCAUGCCUGUUCGAGCGUCAUUUCAACCCUCAAACCCCCGGGUUUGGUGUUGGGGAUCGGCUCUGCCUCACGGCGGUGCCGCCCCCGAAAUACAUUGGCGGUCUCGCUGCAGCCUCCAUUGCGUAGUAGCUAACACCUCGCAACUGGAACGCGGCGCGGCCAUGCCGUAAAACCCCAACUUCUGAAUGUUGACCUCGGAUCAGGUAGGAAUACCCGCUGAACUUAAGCAUAUCAAUAAGCGGAGGA
This 346-nucleotide unclassified non-coding RNA is filed under the name soil metagenome. Its description in RNAcentral is "partial contains 5.8S ribosomal RNA, internal transcribed spacer 2, and large subunit ribosomal RNA". The stretch from base 1 to 120 matches the Rfam family "5.8S ribosomal RNA", at positions 35 to 154 of the family's 154-position model. The record is from RNAcentral.